This 580-nucleotide ribosomal RNA is filed under the name Haloarcula terrestris. RNAcentral's name for it is "partial 23S ribosomal RNA". It matches the Rfam family "Archaeal large subunit ribosomal RNA", at positions 1645 to 2246 of the family's 2987-position model. Lineage: Archaea; Methanobacteriati; Methanobacteriota; Halobacteria; Halobacteriales; Haloarculaceae. The record is from RNAcentral.
GAAGCGGACGAACGGCGGUAUAGGGAAACGUGAUUCAACCUGGGGCCCGUGAAAAGACGAGCAUGAUGUCCGUACCGAGAACCGACACAGGUGUCCAUGGCGGCGAAAGCCAAGGCCUGUCGGGAGCAACCAACGUUAGGGAAUUCGGCAAGUUAGUCCCGUACCUUCGGAAGAAGGGAUGCCUGCUCCGGAACGGAGCAGGUCGCAGUGACUCGGAAGCUCGGACUGUCUAGUAACAACACAGGUGACCGCAAAUCCGCAAGGACUCGUACGGUCACUGAAUCCUGCCCAGUGCAGGUAUCUGAACACCUCGUACAAGAGGACGAAGGACCUGUCAACGGCGGGGGUAACUAUGACCCUCUUAAGGUAGCGUAGUACCUUGCCGCAUCAGUAGCGGCUUGCAUGAAUGGAUUAACCAGAGCUUCACUGUCCCAACGUUGGGCCCGGUGAACUGUACAUUCCAGUGCGGAGUCUGGAGACACCCAGGGGGAAGCGAAGACCCUAUGGAGCUUUACUGCAGGCUGUCGCUGAGACGUGGUCGCCGAUGUGCAGCAUAGGUAGGAGACAUUACACAGGUACC